AAGGGGCUUAGGAUAAACCAGACCAAGGGCCUUCAAAGCCCUAAGCGGAAGUGAGAACCUUCCAACGCCUG
This 71-nucleotide transfer RNA is filed under the name Esmaeilius sophiae. RNAcentral's name for it is "tRNA-Trp". It matches the Rfam family "tRNA". From Rfam's summary of the family: Transfer RNA (tRNA) molecules are approximately 80 nucleotides in length. Their secondary structure includes four short double-helical elements and three loops (D, anti-codon, and T loops). Further hydrogen bonds mediate the characteristic L-shaped molecular structure. tRNAs have two regions of fundamental functional importance: the anti-codon, which is responsible for specific mRNA codon recognition, and the 3' end, to which the tRNAs corresponding amino acid is attached (by aminoacyl-tRNA synthetases). tRNAs cope with the degeneracy of the genetic code in two manners: having more than one tRNA (with a specific anti-codon) for a particular amino acid; and 'wobble' base-pairing, i.e. permitting non-standard base-pairing at the 3rd anti-codon position. Lineage: Eukaryota; Metazoa; Chordata; Actinopteri; Cyprinodontiformes; Aphaniidae. The record is from RNAcentral.